GGUUAGCAUUCGUGAUUAUCGAAUUUUGUUGUGCUAAAGAGACAAAUUCUUGCAGUUCCGGUCAACCAUAAAAAUUUCCCGUGAGAUGUUAAGAUGGCUACCUACUGGGAACUAGGGCGGGAUAUCCUUUUAAGGAUGGGAAUGUAAUAUAUUCUGAACUUAACCUAACCUAUAUACGUGACCUAAUGUAAUCACACUUCUUCUUAAUACAACCACGUUAUUAUGUAGAAACGUAGAUUGGUUGUAGACAUUUGAAACGCCGGUUCUGAAACCUUUGGUCAUUCUUGGAACAUUUUUAUGGAACCUGAGUUGACUAUUACAUUUAAUCAUUUGCACGCGUCGAGUAGCAUGCUGUUAGCGGCGUAAAUCUUGGAGGUUCGCUGGCCGCCAGACAAAAUGACGGACGGAUGAAUGCAACAGCAAGGUCAGCGACCGCGUGGUGUCAGCUUCCAUCAUAAACGUCAGGUCGUACCUAUUCUUUCUUUUGUUAAAUGGAGUCAUGCUAAAACUUCUAUUUUUAUAUAUUGUUUUUUUUAAAAGGAUGCGUUACAUUAAUUGUUGGUGGUGAUUCGGAUAUACCGUUCAGAUUACAAUAAGAUUUAGAGAUAACUAGACCUCUUUCGUGAGUGUUUAAAAUGCAACGUGUUUGUUGUCCCUUUAGUAUAAACGUGUGUAAUUGCUAAGCGAACUUAAAUGGAAUCAUCCUUGUGGAUUUGGCUGGUAGCGAUGUGAAUUCAUAACUUCUAGUGCGUUGUUCGACGGACCCACUUUAAAUACCUAGCCGUGGCAGUGGUUUGGUCAACAAAAAUCCAAACGCUAUAUCGACACCAUCUAAUCCCCAAGGAUUGGUAUAAUAAAACAAAUAUUUGAGAUAACCACUGUUUAUUUACAAAGUAUGUACAAAGUAACUUAACAUUUAGGAAACCUGGUUUUUUUUAUGUAAUUUAACCCAUUAAUAUUUUGUCCUUUUAGGGUUUCUCAAGGGUUUAGCAUUACUUUUAUAUUGUAAAAAAAAGGUUCAUCUAAAAAUAUAGAAGCCAAAUACCGGUGAUUACUGUAAAA
This is a long non-coding RNA of Bicyclus anynana (squinting bush brown), 1062 nucleotides long. RefSeq lists it as uncharacterized. The record is from RefSeq and is a predicted model, not a curated record. Lineage: Eukaryota; Metazoa; Arthropoda; Insecta; Lepidoptera; Nymphalidae. The transcript has 2 exons.